UGGGGAAUUUUGGACAAUGGGGGAAACCCUGAUCCAGCCAUCCCGCGUGUGCGAGGAAGGCCUUCGGGUUGUAAAGCACUUUUGGCAGGAAAGAAACGUCAUGGGUUAAUACCCCGUGAAACUGACGGUACCUGCAGAAUAAGCACCGGCUAACUACGGGCCAGCAGCCGCGGUAAUACGUAGGGUGCAAGCGUUAAUCGGAAUUACUGGGCGUAAAGCGUGCGCAGGCGGUUCGGAAAGAAAGAUGUGAAAUCCCCGAGCUCAACUUUGGAACUGCAUUUUUAACUACCGGGCUAGAGUGUGUCAGAGGGAGGUGGAAUUCCGCGUGUAGCAGUGAAAUGCGUAGAUAUGCGGAGGAACACCGAUGGCGAAGGCAGCCUCCUGGGAUAACACUGACGCUCAUGCACGAAAGCGUGGGGAGCAAACAGG
RNAcentral lists this ribosomal RNA (429 nucleotides) under Acidobacteriota bacterium. RNAcentral's name for it is "Acidobacteria bacterium partial 16S ribosomal RNA". It matches the Rfam family "Bacterial small subunit ribosomal RNA", at positions 355 to 776 of the family's 1533-position model. Lineage: Bacteria; Pseudomonadati; Acidobacteriota. The record is from RNAcentral.